UGGGGAAUAUUGGACAAUGGGGGAAACCCUGAUCCAGCGACGCCGCGUGUGUGAAGAAGGCCUGCGGGUUGUAAAGCACUUUCGGUGGGAACGAAAUAUGCCGGGCUAAUACCCCGGUAGGCUGACGUUACUCAAUGAAGAAGCACCGGCUAACUCUGUGCCAGCAGCCGCGGUAAUACAGAGGGUGCGAGCGUUAAUCGGAAUUACUGGGCGUAAAGCGCACGUAGGUGGCGACGUAAGUCGGGUGUGAAAGCCCCGGGCUCAACCUGGGAACCGCAUUCGAGACUGCGUUGCUGGAGUACGGAAGAGGAGGGCGGAAUUCCCGGUGUAGCGGUGAAAUGCGUA
Molecule: ribosomal RNA, 345 nt
Filed under: uncultured bacterium
Lineage: Bacteria
Description: bacterial SSU rRNA
Rfam family: Bacterial small subunit ribosomal RNA
Source: RNAcentral